UUUUUUUUCUUCCUCCAUGUUAUUCUCAUUGAGCCACUCACCCCCUCAUGUUAACAUCUCGUUGUCGUUCGAUGGUCACCGGAGAAAUCGAGCUGAGAAUUGAGUUACCGAUCCCUCUGUCAUUACUGCAAAUUCUGAACCAACCCAUAUUACUCGAGUUAACCAAACUAAUUCGGGGCGAUCCACUACUCGAGCUGAUCAUGGAAGAUGUUAUGACCAUCAUUAGUUAUUUUGUUGAGUUGUGUCUCUAUCGGUUGUUGCAUUUUAUUUGUGAAUUAUUUAGUUGUCUAGUAUACUUUGUUGAUUGUGAUAUGACAUGUGAUUGACUAGUUUAUGUUUCGGUUAUUAUUUUGUGAAAUCUGAUGUAUGUCAAAUCUCGAAAAAUGUUAUAUGUUGAAUGCUGAUCUGUUGGACAUACAUUUGUGUUAUGUGAAACAUGAUUUUUCAGAUUCGAAUUUUAUGUCAUACAUUCGGGUAUGUGAUUAUGUACUUCUUAUUACAUUCGGAUUAAAUUUCGAAUAUAUGUAUGUUAACAUGUCAUAUUGGGUUGGGAUUGAUAGGAAAAGUUCAGUGCAUUCACUCGACAUGGUAAAUGUUACUUCGGAUUCGGUGGCCUCCUACCUUUAUGGCAGACCCCACUUCGGAUGAUGUGUUAGAGUGGUUCCAGGAAACCUUCUAUUCGAACGGUGAAUUUCUUGAGGGACCAGCUUUAACAUGACUCUCUAGAUUGACGUAUUUCAUCUAGAUCGGGUUAGGAGUUAUAAGGAGCGCUUUAACAAGGUUGAUAGUGAACGAAUUUACUUCUUGCGUCGUGAAAUUGCUACAUCUGUUUAAGGAUCUCCACUAGGAGGAUGAAAGGGAUCAGUAAACAUAUUGAUGGCCUCUAUUUGUUCCGGUC
Hibiscus syriacus is the source of this 898-nucleotide long non-coding RNA. RefSeq lists it as uncharacterized. Lineage: Eukaryota; Viridiplantae; Streptophyta; Magnoliopsida; Malvales; Malvaceae. The transcript is spliced from 5 exons. The record is from RefSeq and is a predicted model, not a curated record.